UAAAAGAAAAAGAGUUGUCCAUUUUCUGUAUUUGUUGCAAAGCUGCAGAUUUCAUAUAUUGUCCAAAAUUUAAAAUUUCCAUUCCGAUCUUGAUAAUUGAUGGAAUGAUGCUAUGCAGAGGCUCAUUUCUUUGAAUGAAGACUGAACAAAACUACCUAUGCAUGAAAAUGGUACGGAAAGAGACAAUCUCAAUGAUGAAGUUUUCGGCAUCUAUCAAAAAAAACUUAUGAUUUUUCAGCUGCUUUAGAUACCUCGAGGUACUUCCCUUUACGUUCAUCUACUUCUAAGAAUGGAAGUUGUACAUAAUGUAUUGCUCAUGUCCUUAUGUAUCCUGUUUCCCCCGAUUUACACAGGUAGUCCUGCUAAAAAUUUAAUUUGUCAAGUUCCCGAAACUGAUAAUAUUGUGGAUGUUUAGUCGUCCUACUCUCCAUGAGAGUGAUAUGCACCUUUGAGGUUAAUCUCAAAUAUGUUUUGCACCAAAUGAGCUGUUGUUUCCUAUUUCCUGAAAACAAGGAUACUUCUGACAUUCUAUUUGGUCAGUACCCUUCUCCUGUUUUCUAAUUUGUUACUUUGGAGGAUUGCUCUAUUGAAUAGCCUUCAUAUGUAGAAGUUUAUGGAUCCAUUACCUUUUGCUCAUUGCUCUCAUGAGAUUUUCCUACUUUCCUGAUCAUCAUGCCAAUUAUCAGUUAGCUUUUACUGGAUAAUAAUACUACAUUUUAUUCUAUUCUCUCGAGCUGUAGGGCACACAAGCACUCGCAUCAUUAGAUUGAUUUUGUACAUCAGAUACCUUGUGUCCCUGUGCUAUUUAAUGUGUGUGGGUGUAUAUAUAUCCUUUCCUGAAAUUUUUAAGAAUGCAACUUUUAUGCUUGCUCAUGAUGCCUGGUGUCUAAUGUAUAUGUAAUGUAGAAAAAUAAUACAGUAUCUCUAUGCUGACUUUCUUUUUAAACACCCAGAAACUGUCAUUGAUCAAUUUGUUGUUGUCGUUUCAGGUUUUAAUCCUUCUUCUCCUUUAGCAAGUGUUGCAUUUCAGGGAGUUUCUACUACAGAUCCAUGAAAGCUUUUCCACCUUGCUGGAGCUGACUAGGAAUAUGUUUGCCAAUAUUCCUAAGCAUAGAACUAUAGCCAUGCAAACCGCACCAAAACAUGCCUUCCAUGAAAGAGCAAGCUUGAUCUUACCUCCAAAUAUAGUCCAACCAGAGACUCGACUUCAUUAUCCUCAACUGCACGGUAUCCGCCUUUAAGGAGAUCCGAUAGACAGAACAACACAUUAUCUCUUUCUAUCCAUCUAACUAUAAGAAACAUUUAGUAUCUACAGGUUUAUUAUAAAAGAGGAGAACAAAUUCACCAUGAUUAGGAUAUCGAGGAAUGAAAACACGAAUGUGAACGUCUGAUUUCUAAAAGACAAUAACCCUCCUCCUUUUUCCAGGAUUGUGUAAGCUUGAUCUUAGAGAUUGUUUCUGCUGAGUACUGAUGCUGUGGCUUUUUUUAAUCUAUCGACAUCUGUAAUUUGAGUACUUUAGCAUAUUUUGAGACAAGUCAAAUAAAGCAGAGGAAGAAAUUGUAAUCUAAUCUCUUAUAACCAAGAAGAUAUUCCUAGAACUACCAAAUCAUGUCUCAAAACCAGCUCUCAUUAUGAUAACACAAGUUAUAAAGAGGAUCCAUGACCUUCAUUAUACAGGAGCACG
This 1685-nucleotide long non-coding RNA is filed under the name Nicotiana tabacum (common tobacco). RNAcentral describes it as "long non-coding RNA (NTAB_LNC009461)". The record is from RNAcentral. Lineage: Eukaryota; Viridiplantae; Streptophyta; Magnoliopsida; Solanales; Solanaceae.